Molecule: unclassified non-coding RNA, 331 nt
Filed under: soil metagenome
Description: partial contains 5.8S ribosomal RNA, internal transcribed spacer 2, and large subunit ribosomal RNA
Rfam family: 5.8S ribosomal RNA (bases 1-120)
Source: RNAcentral
GAUGAAGAACGUAGCGAAAUGCGAUAAGUAAUGUGAAUUGCAGAAUUCAGUGAAUCAUCGAAUCUUUGAACGCACAUUGCGCCCGCUAGUAUUCUGGCGGGCAUGCCUUUUCGAGCGUCAUUUCAACCAUCAAGCCCCAGGCUUGUGUUGGGGGCCUGCGGCUGCCGCAGCCCCUGAAAAGCAGUGGCGGGCUCGCUGUCAUUCCGAGCGCAGUAGUUACAUCUCGCUCCGGGCGUGGCGGUGGGCACCUGCCGUGAAACACUCCUUCUAAGGUUGACCUCGGAUCAGGUAGGAAUACCCGCUGAACUUAAGCAUAUCAAUAAGCGGAGGA